Molecule: ribosomal RNA, 380 nt
Filed under: uncultured eukaryote
Lineage: Eukaryota
Description: partial 18S ribosomal RNA
Rfam family: Eukaryotic small subunit ribosomal RNA
Source: RNAcentral
CAAUAGCGUAUAUUAAAGUUGUUGCAGUUAAGAAGCUCGUAGUUGGAUUUGUGGCGUACGGUGGGUUCCGGGCACUUGUUGUCUGAGUAACUUGCUGUUGCCAUCCUUGGGUGGAACCUGUGUGGCAUUAGGUUGUCGUGCAGGGGAUGCCCAUCAUUUACUGUGAAAAAAUUAGAGUGUUCAAAGCAGGCUUAUGCCGUUGAAUAUACUAGCAUGGAAUAAUGAGAUAGGACUUUUUUGCUAUUUUGUUGGUUUGCGCAAAGAGGUAAUGAUUAAUAGGGACAGUUGGGGGUAUUCGUAUUCCAUUGUCAGAGGUGAAAUUCUUGGAUUUUUGGAAGACGAACUACUGCGAAAGCAUUUACCAAGGAUGUUUUCAUUAA